GAUGAACGCUGGCGGCGUGCCUAACACAUGCAAGUCGAGCGAAGCACUUACUUUAGAUUUCUUCGGAAUGACGAAGUUUGUGACUGAGCGGCGGACGGGUGAGUAACGCGUGGGCAACCUGCCCUGUACAGGGGGAUAACAGUUAGAAAUGACUGCUAAUACCGCAUAAGCCCACAGCUUCGCAUGGAGCAGUGGGAAAAACUCCGGUGGUACAGGAUGGGCCCGCGUCUGAUUAGCUAGUUGGUAAGGUAACGGCUUACCAAGGCGACGAUCAGUAGCCGACCUGAGAGGGUGACCGGCCACAUUGGGACUGAGACACGGCCCAAACUCCUACGGGAAGCAGCAGUGGGGAAUAUUGCACAAUGGGGGAAACCCUGAUGCAGCGACGCCGCGUGAGCGAUGAAGUAUUUCGGUAUGUAAAGCUCUAUCAGCAGGGAAGAAAGUGACGGUACCUGACUAAGAAGCCCCGGCUAACUACGUG
Molecule: ribosomal RNA, 481 nt
Filed under: uncultured bacterium
Lineage: Bacteria
Description: partial 16S ribosomal RNA
Rfam family: Bacterial small subunit ribosomal RNA
Source: RNAcentral